GCCUCUGGAGCUCUUUUUAUGAGGCAGGAGCAAUUCGACUGUUAAUCGAGAGGUUGGUGGUUCAAGCCCACCUGGGAGCG
Molecule: non-coding RNA, 80 nt
Organism: Boothiomyces sp. JEL0838
Lineage: Eukaryota; Fungi; Chytridiomycota; Chytridiomycetes; Rhizophydiales; Terramycetaceae
Source: the annotation of a GenBank genome assembly